CUCAAUUUGUAAUCUGGUGGACUCAGUUCAUCCGAGUUGUAAUCUAUAGAAGUGUUUUCCGCGCUGGACCGUGUCUAAGUCCCUUGGAACAGGGUGUCAGAGAGGGUGAGAAUCCCGUGCUUGAUACGACCACCAGUGCUAUGUGAUACACUUUCAACGAGUCGAGUUGUUUGGGAAUGCAGCUCAAAAUGGGUGGUAAAUUCCAUCUAAAGCUAAAUAUUGGCGAGAGACCGAUAGCGAACAAGUACCGUGAGGGAAAGAUGAAAAGCACUUUGGAAAGAGAGUUAAACAGUACGUGAAAUUGUUAAAAGGGAAACGAUUGAAGUCAGUCGUGCUCU
This 338-nucleotide ribosomal RNA is filed under the name Holtermanniella sp. RNAcentral describes it as "partial large subunit ribosomal RNA". It matches the Rfam family "Eukaryotic large subunit ribosomal RNA", at positions 108 to 441 of the family's 3401-position model. Lineage: Eukaryota; Fungi; Basidiomycota; Tremellomycetes; Holtermanniales. The record is from RNAcentral.